Molecule: long non-coding RNA, 344 nt
Filed under: Malus domestica (apple)
Lineage: Eukaryota; Viridiplantae; Streptophyta; Magnoliopsida; Rosales; Rosaceae
Description: long non-coding RNA (MDOM_LNC011283)
Source: RNAcentral
AAUCUCGGCUUCAACGACUUCACGAGCCUUAGCCCUCUUGGGGCAUAUUGUGAAACUUUUAACUUAUAAAGUCGACGGUUGGACACGUGCUUCUCGUAGAAAGCAGAGGAGUCCGCGUAGCUGCUAUAGUUGUACAUUUUAGCUUUAGCUGUUGCACAAGCCUCGGCCCUCCCAAGCAUGUUGCAAAAAUUUUAAAUUAUAGAGUCAAUGGCCGAACACAUGCUUCUUGUAGAAAGCAGAGGAAAUCCACAUAACUGCUAUAAUCGUAUAUUUCAGCUUUAGCUCUUUCAAAACUUAAAAUGUACAUCGGCAGCCGGAAACACUGCUUUUAAAUAAGCAAACGG